GAUAAGUCGAUCACUCCAUUUGGAAGGCUGCCGUGGUCACAUUUUGAUAUUCAUCUCAUCUCUGUUCCUCUCUGUCCUUUUUUCAGGAUCCCAUCAUGUUCUAUGUUUGUUCAGGAGGUUCACUUGACCAUGCAGACUUUUGGAUUCCUCUAAGUUCCCAUGUUUGAGGAAGCAUUUGGUGUUGCUGUGCAAAGUGUUGCUGCAGUGGAGGUUCAAGGUUACUGUUUAUUGAUAUGGAUCCCAUCAUACUUUGUUCAUUGUUUGUUCAGGAGUUUGCCCUAAGUCUCCGUGUUUGAGGGCCUAUUCUGUGGAUAUAUUUAUUUGCACUUUUAUUGAUG
Corythoichthys intestinalis (scribbled pipefish) is the source of this 338-nucleotide long non-coding RNA. RefSeq lists it as uncharacterized. NCBI's taxonomy places the organism in Eukaryota, Metazoa, Chordata, Actinopteri, Syngnathiformes, Syngnathidae. The transcript has 4 exons. The record is from RefSeq and is a predicted model, not a curated record.